RNAcentral lists this ribosomal RNA (236 nucleotides) under uncultured Staphylococcus sp. Its description in RNAcentral is "partial 16S ribosomal RNA". It matches the Rfam family "Bacterial small subunit ribosomal RNA", at positions 104 to 334 of the family's 1533-position model. The record is from RNAcentral. Lineage: Bacteria; Bacillati; Bacillota; Bacilli; Caryophanales; Staphylococcaceae.
GGGUGAGUAACACGUGGAUAACCUACCUAUAAGACUGGGAUAACUUCGGGAAACCGUAGCUAAUACCGGAUAAUAUUUUGAACCGCAUGGUUCAAAAGUGAAAGACGGUCUUGCUGUCACUUAUAGAUGGAUCCGCGCUGCAUUAGCUAGUUGGUAAGGUAACGGCUUACCAAGGCAACGAUGCAUAGCCGACCUGAGAGGGUGAUCGGCCACACUGUAACUGAGACACGGUCCAG